UAGGUCUGUUCCUUUGUUUUUUAGUGUUACACUUUUGAGUGUAAGUGUACGAAAUUCUAUGGACAUUUGAGUGUAAAAUGACAGCGGAUGUGACAGCGGCUCAUGACAGCGGACAGUAUUAAACGAAAAUUAUCGGUGUGCCAAUCAAGCAAAGGGACAAGGAACUUCCGAAUAUGGCCUAACUGGGGGCACAUAACAUAACAUAACCUAAUCCUAAUAUUUACAUUUGUAAAGAAUAUCCUGUUUGUUUUUAUUGUCGAUUGUGCAGCGAAAUUGUGUGCAGCAAAUCAAAUAUAUAAAGUAGUUUAUCGCCUACAGAACUGAAUUAGUCCAUAGCAGUUAUCAGUUUUUCUUUCUUGGGAAGCUUAUACAUGUAACUUGUAUUGUUGUAAAUUGUGGGAGUAGGGCAGACAGGGAAAAGUCUUAUUUUGUACUGUUCCCAAGGCUCCCCAUGCAAUACAUUUAAAUGAAUUAUCCAAACAAAGCUGGGGACAAUGGAUAAAAGCCACAAGAAGAACAGAUAUAAGGGAACUAAAAUUAAAAUAUGAAAAGUAAACAUUUUAUAAGUGGAACAACCACCAGAUAUUUAAAAGGUAUAAAAAGAAGAAACUGCUGGAAUUUCAAAACAAAUGUGUUUGACUAGUAAAAAUUUGGAUAAAUAACAGGAGUUACUUUGGGCUAUAGCUAAGUGCAGAUUUAUUUCCUUGUGGCUUCCUAUGUUAAUUCUUAUUAAUUAUACACUUAAAUAUGUUUUUAGUCUCAGGAAGAUUUUAUAUUUGAUUAUUUUUGAAUAAACAUUAUUAUUAUUAUUACCUUAAUUUCCAUUAAAUAAAUUAACUGUAAUCAAUAAAGUAAUCGUUUAAUUGUUAAUAAAUUAUCAAGUAUGA
Diabrotica virgifera virgifera (western corn rootworm) is the source of this 887-nucleotide long non-coding RNA. RefSeq lists it as uncharacterized. The record is from RefSeq and is a predicted model, not a curated record. The transcript has 2 exons. NCBI's taxonomy places the organism in Eukaryota, Metazoa, Arthropoda, Insecta, Coleoptera, Chrysomelidae.